AAUUAAUCUUUAAAUAAAAAAAACUUUAAAAAUUAAAAAUUAAAAUAUUUAUUAAAAUUUAUUUUCUUGUGAAUUCUUGGUUAGGGAUAUGUCAAUGUGCGGACAUAUCCCAUACUUUUUGCCUUCCAUAAUCUCUUUGAUUUGGACCAGAAUUGUGUCUUGCUGCAUGAGCAGCUGCUGCUGCUGCAUGAGCAUCUGCUCCAUAUUUAUUGUUGUUUGUGGUGGAGCUGACAAAGGGGAAGAUGUGGUGGAGACAGGGGAGGCAGAGGUUGCUGCAUGCAAUGAAAAAACAGCAAAAUAUUUAAAAAUGAUGGCAUCCUUGCUUUUAACUGAAACUUACCAUUGUGGUCACGCCACCAAUACUUUUUCACAAGGGGCCAGAUGAAAUAUUUUAUGGCUAUCAUCAGUAAGAGGCCGAAAGUGCCUUGCAAGAAUGGUAUUUCUUAUUUUUUUUCAAAACGUCGGCCACAUCAGCAGAAAACUUAUCAGAAAUACGUGUCUUACCUUUCCCAAAGUAGUUUGGGUUGCCACAUCGUAUUAGUAAACUACAACAUGGAAGAAAAUAAGGAAAGGGGACUAUGGUAAGUGAAAUUGAUGUCAUUUUAAAGAAAUCCAUUGAAAUUUUUGCUUUCAAAAUCAGGUACAAUGGCAAGUUAACUAAAGUGGAUCUUCAGUCCCGAACCAAAAGAAAGAUUACUUAGACGCUCAUGCAAGAUUAUUUCGAUUAUGAAAAAUGAACUGCCAUAUGUGAGAUGAAAUAUAAUGAGAUGAAAUGAAUGAAUUAUGAAUGAAUGAAAUAUACAACAACAACAAACAAAUACUUUUCAAAAUUUUUAUUUAGAUAAGGAACCUCGAUUGCAAUCCACCUUCAAGAAAAUACACACGGAAUGUUUGAACAUU
This is a long non-coding RNA of Daphnia pulex (common water flea), 900 nucleotides long. RefSeq lists it as uncharacterized. The transcript is spliced from 2 exons. NCBI's taxonomy places the organism in Eukaryota, Metazoa, Arthropoda, Branchiopoda, Diplostraca, Daphniidae. The record is from RefSeq and is a predicted model, not a curated record.